This 1143-nucleotide long non-coding RNA is filed under the name Medicago truncatula (barrel medic). Its description in RNAcentral is "long non-coding RNA (MTRU_LNC008717)". Lineage: Eukaryota; Viridiplantae; Streptophyta; Magnoliopsida; Fabales; Fabaceae. The record is from RNAcentral.
GACAACAAAACUGAUUUUAUUAAUGUAUUUCCGUUCUUAAGUUGAUUAUUGAUAAAUCAGAGUUCCUUAUAAGAUGACAAAGGUUACUUACCUUGUAUUACACUUUCAAAAUUUUAAUUAAUUUUGACUGUACACGAUAAUAAUCACAAAUCAAACACACUUAACUAUAUAAUUCUUAUGUUAUAGAGUACAUAAAAGAAAAUGCAUCUUAUUGGUAUGGUGGUACCAAUCAAAUCUUAUAAGUUAUCCUUCAAUCAUAUAGUCUCACACAUGCACAAUCUCAAGAUCUCUUUCAAUCGAUGUAAAUAUGAUUCAUUUCAUGUAUCCCUUUUCCUAAAAACAUGUCGAGAGCCACUCUGUCUUAUGUACCAACGAUCACUCUUUACCCUCUUCCACACCAUAAGUGUCACAUUGGUGACCUUUUAAUUGGACCAACCCUGCAGGAAGCCAUCAUUUGGGGAAACUAAUUUAGAUUGUGCCUAAAAUCAUUGGUGCAAUAUUAUUUGAAUCAUAGUCCCAUAAUCACAAUGCGACUGAUAACCACAUAGAAUCAAAGACAUCAAUGUAGAUUAACAAUAGUCAACAUAUCAUACUAAACUCAAUAUCAUGUUGUUAUCGACCAAAUGACCUUAAUUUACUGUAACUUUGCCAAGCCGGUAAACAUACCUCAGGAAUAAAAAAAAAAUUGAUACUCAAUCCAAAAUAAAAUAUAAGCAAAAAUAAUAGUUUUUUUUAAGGAAGCAAAAAUAAUAGUUUCUUUUAAUUUAUAUAUAUAUAUAUAUAUAUAUAUAUAUAUAUAUAUAUAUAUAUAUAUAUAUAAAUUAAUUAUUUAACCACAUUCAAUGACUUUUCAACUACGACUUUUGUUUAUAUUUUAUUUCGAAGGGAAUACACUCUCAUUCUCCACGAACUCUACAAACUUAACCCAAAACUGACUUGAACAUUGAAGUGUUUGUAUACAUGAUUAUCGACACUCACCUGUUCCGGAUCCAAAGUUCUUCUCAAUUAAAAAACAAAUCCCACAGCAAAGUCGGUGUAAUACACAAGCAGCCUCGUUCAGGGUAAUAUUUUGGAUUUCAAAUUAGAAAAAAAAAAUAUAGUAACAUUUUUAAAACAAAAACCACAUGGGAUGUAUUGUCUUUG